Molecule: long non-coding RNA, 502 nt
Organism: Branchiostoma belcheri (Belcher's lancelet)
Lineage: Eukaryota; Metazoa; Chordata; Leptocardii; Amphioxiformes; Branchiostomatidae
Exons: 3
Source: RefSeq, a predicted model, not a curated record
AAUAACCAGUUCUUUUCUUCUUCAUUCAUCAGCAGUUGAAGACAGUCUUCAGAGAAGCCUGACAAGUCUUAAGACCAUGAUUGCAGGACCUGCUUCAGUGAGGUGGAAGCACAAUACAGCAAUGCCAAGCACGAUCAAAUGCCAGCAAAAAAGCACAUCUUGGAGACACUGAGGUGCAGCCGCAGUCAUAGCAGUUGAAGACAGGCUUCAGAGAACUGUGGCUCAGCAUGCCUUGGACUCGGUCCGUCCUACUGCAAUGACAAGUCUCAAGACUAAGAUUGCUUCAGUGAGGACAUUACAGCAAUUCCAAGCACAAUACAGUCAAGUACCAGCAAAACAAACAUCCUGGAGACACUGAGACACAGUCAUUAUACCUACUGCAGUUGAAGACAGUCUUCAGAGAACUGUGGCUCAGCGUGCUUUUGAAGCACAAGACAGCACUACAUCCGCACAUCAAAAUCAAAGGAUUCAGAGAGCUGGGAUUUCUGUACAAUGCAGCAGC